UAAGGGAAGGAAGUAAUGGCUGUUAACACCACUGAUUACUUCAGGAAAUAACAGGGAAAUUGAAUGCAGGUAAAGGGAAGGAAGUAAUGGCUGUUAACACCACUGAUUACUUAGGGAAAUAACAGGGAAAUUGAAUGCAGGUAAAGGGAAGGAAGUAAUGGCUGUUAACACCACUGAUUACUUAGGGAAAUAACAGGGAAAUUGAAUGCAGGUAAAGGGAAGGAAGUAAUGGCUGUUAACACCACUGAUUACUUAGGGAAAUAACAGGGAAAUUGAAUGCAGGUAAAGGGAAGGAAGUAAUGGCUGUUAACACCACUGAUUACUUAGGGAAAUAACAGGGAAAUUGAAUGCAGGUAAAGGGAAGGAAGUAAUGGCUGUUAACACCACUGAUUACUUCAGGAAAUAACAGGGAAAUUGAAUGCAGGUAAAGGGAAGGAAGUAAUGGCUGUUAACACCACUGAUUACUUAGGGAAAUAACAGGGAAAUUGAAUGCAGGUAAAGGGAAGGAAGUAAUGGCUGUUAACACCACUGAUUACUUAGGGAAAUUGA
Molecule: long non-coding RNA, 549 nt
Organism: Protopterus annectens (West African lungfish)
Lineage: Eukaryota; Metazoa; Chordata; Ceratodontiformes; Protopteridae
Exons: 3
Source: RefSeq, a predicted model, not a curated record